AAUAUUGCACAAUGGGCGAAAGCCUGAUGCAGCAACGCCGCGUGAGUGAUGAAGGCCUUCGGGUUGUAAAGCUCUGUCUUCUGGGACGAUAAUGACGGUACCAGAGGAGGAAGCCACGGCUAACUACGUGCCAGCAGCCGCGGUAAUACGUAGGUGGCAAGCGUUGUCCGGAUUUACUGGGCGUAAAGAAUGCGUAGGCGGAUAUUUAAGUGAGAUGUGAAAUUCCCGGGCUUAACUUGGGAGCUGCAUUUCAAACUGGGUAUCUAGAGUGCGGGAGAGGAAAGUGGAAUUCCUAGUGUAGCGGUGAAAUGCGUAGAGAUUAGGAAGAACACCAGUGGCGAAGGCGACUUUCUGGACCGUAACCGACGCUGAGGCAUGAAAGCGUGGGGAGCAAACAGG
Molecule: ribosomal RNA, 399 nt
Filed under: uncultured bacterium
Lineage: Bacteria
Description: partial 16S ribosomal RNA
Rfam family: Bacterial small subunit ribosomal RNA
Source: RNAcentral